CCUGCUCAAUGCCCGAUAAAUAGCCGCGUUAUCGUGCUAAGGUAGCAUAAUCACUUGUCUUUUAAAUAAAGAAUAGAAUGAAGGGAUAAACGAAUUAUAAACUUUUUUAAUCUUACCUAAUAAACUUAAUUUAAAUGUAAAAAAGCACUUAUUAAAAGAAAAGACGACAAGACCCUUUAGAACUUAACAUAUGUUAAGCUGGGGUGGCAUAUAAAACUAAAACUUAUAAACAUAUUAAAUAAAAACUUUUAUAAUAAAUUUAUCAAGUUACCUAAGGGAUAACAGCACAAUAAUUUACCAAAGAUCAUAUAAAAUAUAUAAAUUGUGACCUCGAUGUUGAAUUAUUUAAACUUUUUCAUUAAGCACAGUUAUAAAAAGUAAGUCUGUUCGACUUUUAAUUUAAUACAU
This 408-nucleotide ribosomal RNA is filed under the name Merizocera sp. 249 FL-2018. Its description in RNAcentral is "partial 16S ribosomal RNA". It matches the Rfam family "Bacterial large subunit ribosomal RNA", at positions 1908 to 2601 of the family's 2925-position model. Lineage: Eukaryota; Metazoa; Arthropoda; Arachnida; Araneae; Ochyroceratidae. The record is from RNAcentral.